UAAGGAAUAUUGGUCAAUGGACGCAAGUCUGAACCAGCCAUGCCGCGUGAAGGAUGAAGGUCCUCUGGAUUGUAAACUUCUUUUAUCUGGGACGAAAACGGGAUUUUUAUCUCAAUUGACGGUACCAGAGGAAUAAGCACCGGCUAACUCCGUGCCAGCAGCCGCGGUAAUACGGAGGGUGCGAGCGUUAUCCGGAUUUACUGGGUUUAAAGGGUGCGUAGGUGGGCUUAUAAGUCAGUGGUGAAAUCUCCGAGCUUAACUUGGAAACUGCCGUUGAUACUAUAGGUCUUGAAUUAUCUGGAGGUAAGCGGAAUAUGACAUGUAGCGGUGAAAUGCUUAGAUAUGACAUAGAACACCAAUUGCGAAGGCAGCUUACUACAUAUAAAUUGACGCUGAGGCACGAAAGCGUGGGGAUCAAACA
RNAcentral lists this ribosomal RNA (421 nucleotides) under uncultured bacterium. RNAcentral's name for it is "bacterial SSU rRNA". It matches the Rfam family "Bacterial small subunit ribosomal RNA", at positions 355 to 774 of the family's 1533-position model. The record is from RNAcentral.